RNAcentral lists this ribosomal RNA (1442 nucleotides) under uncultured organism. RNAcentral's name for it is "16S ribosomal RNA". It matches the Rfam family "Bacterial small subunit ribosomal RNA". The record is from RNAcentral.
GCUUAACACAUGCAAGUCGAGGGGCAGCAUGGUCUUAGCUUGCUAAGGCCGAUGGCGACCGGCGCACGGGUGAGUAACACGUAUCCAACCUGCCGUCUACUCUUGGACAGCCUUCUGAAAGGAAGAUUAAUACAAGAUGGCAUCAUGAGUCCACAUGUUCACAUGAUUAAAGGUAUUCCGGUAGACGAUGGGGAUGCGUUCCAUUAGAUAGUAGGCGGGGUAACGGCCCACCUAGUCUUCGAUGGAUAGGGGUUCUGAGAGGAAGGUCCCCCACAUUGGAACUGAGACACGGUCCAAACUCCUACGGGAGGCAGCAGUGAGGAAUAUUGGUCAAUGGGCGAGAGCCUGAACCAGCCAAGUAGCGUGAAGGAUGACUGCCCUAUGGGUUGUAAACUUCUUUUAUAAAGGAAUAAAGUCGGGUAUGGAUACCCGUUUGCAUGUACUUUAUGAAUAAGGAUCGGCUAACUCCGUGCCAGCAGCCGCGGUAAUACGGAGGAUCCGAGCGUUAUCCGGAUUUAUUGGGUUUAAAGGGAGCGUAGAUGGAUGUUUAAGUCAGUUGUGAAAGUUUGCGGCUCAACCGUAAAAUUGCAGUUGAUACUGGAUAUCUUGAGUGCAGUUGAGGCAGGCGGAAUUCGUGGUGUAGCGGUGAAAUGCUUAGAUAUCACGAAGAACUCCGAUUGCGAAGGCAGCCUGCUAAGCUGCAACUGACAUUGAGGCUCGAAAGUGUGGGUAUCAAACAGGAUUAGAUACCCUGGUAGUCCACACGGUAAACGAUGAAUACUCGCUGUUUGCGAUAUACUGCAAGCGGCCAAACGAAAGCGUUAAGUAUUCCACCUGGGGAGUACGCCGGCAACGGUGAAACUCAAAGGAAUUGACGGGGGCCCGCACAAGCGGAGGAACAUGUGGUUUAAUUCGAUGAUACGCGAGGAACCUUACCCGGGCUUAAAUUGCAGAUGAAUUACGGUGAAAGCCGUAAGCCGCAAGGCAUCUGUGAAGGUGCUGCAUGGUUGUCGUCAGCUCGUGCCGUGAGGUGUCGGCUUAAGUGCCAUAACGAGCGCAACCCUUGUUGUCAGUUACUAACAGGUUCCGCUGAGGACUCUGACAAGACUGCCAUCGUAAGAUGUGAGGAAGGUGGGGAUGACGUCAAAUCAGCACGGCCCUUACGUCCGGGGCUACACACGUGUUACAAUGGGGGGUACAGAGGGCCGCUACCACGCGAGUGGAUGCCAAUCCCCAAAACCUCUCUCAGUUCGGACUGGAGUCUGCAACCCGACUCCACGAAGCUGGAUUCGCUAGUAAUCGCGCAUCAGCCACGGCGCGGUGAAUACGUUCCCGGGCCUUGUACACACCGCCCGUCAAGCCAUGGGAGCCGGGGGUACCUGAAGUGCGUAACCGCGAGGAGCGCCCUAGGGUAAAACUGGUGACUGGGGCUAAGUCAUAAC